GUUGGAUUAAGCAGGGUAUCGGAUACUCAGGUUUUUUCUGCAUGGUUAGGCAUAUUAAGAACCAGAAAAAUGUGUUGGUUAAAGUAGGAUGCUGGAAUACUCAGGUGUCGGAAUAGGUAGGUUACACUGUAUGUAUUAAAAUGCAUAAAAAGAGAUGUGGAAUAUAGGACUUUCUUGAAACUCACUUCUGAACCCAUGAUUCUAAUUUUACAGUUACAUUUGAGUACAAAUUAUUUCUGUUGUUGGGAAUUUACUGGUAUAAAUAUUGGUUAUCUGC
This 277-nucleotide long non-coding RNA is filed under the name Mytilus galloprovincialis (Mediterranean mussel). Lineage: Eukaryota; Metazoa; Mollusca; Bivalvia; Mytilida; Mytilidae. The record is from RNAcentral.